RNAcentral lists this non-coding RNA (31 nucleotides) under Rattus norvegicus (Norway rat). Lineage: Eukaryota; Metazoa; Chordata; Mammalia; Rodentia; Muridae. The record is from RNAcentral.
UUGAAUUCAGUACAUCUACUAGCCGCUCGGA